AAAUUCAUUGUAUGGCAGCCAAUCCGAAGAGCCGCGAACUCGCCAGCUUGGGGAAGCGAGUCGUGAGCCAGAUCUGGAGCAGCAGCUCCCGCGAUCCUGCUCUGCCAGCUGUUGCUUUCAGGUGAAGUUUUCUUUGAGCUCUUCGGAUUCGUCUUGUUUCCCGCUUUUUCUUGUAAAAAUUUUGCCGGCUGUUUUCCGGGAUAAUAUUGGAGGAUUUUCUGAAGUUUUUAAAAUUCUUUUUGGGGAGAUUUAUUCAGGCAGCUCGUUAAUGGUGAUUUGGCUCAUUUUUUUCAGAUUUUUUUCUUAAGAUUUUUGUGGUUCAAUUGUGUUUGGUUGCUGAGAAAAGAGGUAGGUGAAGGAAAGGGAUGUGAAUUUUGACUCACUCAACCAAAUAUUUUUGAUGCAGCUGUUUGCGUCAGUCGGAACUUAAAAUUAUAUUCUCAACCGAGAAAGUCACAUGCAAAUUUAUGUUCUACUUUAUUUCCAUGCUUUCCUUUUCCUCUCUUUUCUCGGUAACCAAACUGCAGGGAGGAUCUCCGAGAUAGCUCUUUGUAUUUCAUUCCUUUCUUCAACAAAGAAAAUUAAAUUUGGAUUCUCUUUUUACUUUUAUUAUUCUUCCUUUUUUUCCUCUGAUUUCUCGGCAGCAAAACGAACACGAAAAUCAUCGAACCAGUUAUUUUAAUCUCGAUAAGAUCUUCUCUCCUAAAGCCUUCCAUUUUUUCUCUAUUUCUCACAAAGACGAUUCAUCUCCCAUCCUAUUUUCCUCUCCGAUCCUUGAAAUUUUUCACUUUUCCGGCACCGACCUCGCCGGAGAUAUGGCAUACUGUACGAAGAACUUACCAGUAGAAGAUGACGUGGCAUUGCCACCGCUUUGCACCUCAUCACCGUGUCCCGCCACGUCAUCUCCGAUGAACAACCAAAUAUGAAUUGACAAUAAAUUUAAUAUUU
RNAcentral lists this long non-coding RNA (948 nucleotides) under Vitis vinifera (wine grape). RNAcentral's name for it is "long non-coding RNA (VVIN_LNC005299)". The record is from RNAcentral. Lineage: Eukaryota; Viridiplantae; Streptophyta; Magnoliopsida; Vitales; Vitaceae.